CUCGCUGACCCUCUACCUCCCAUUAGAUCAGGUCUGAGUUGAUCUAGAUCUUCCAUCGCUGACCUAUAGCCGCCGAGCUCCUUCCCUAACCACUUCACCAUCUCCGCCGCCUCCAUCUCCAGCCUUUACAUCGCCAUCAAGAACAGCCUCGAUGUCGAACCCACAAGCCCUCCAUCUCCGCCUCCAUUGCGCUAACCCUCUUCCUUUAAAACAAAAACAUAAACCCAUUGCCGCCACAACCACCAUCAGAGCCGAACCCACAAGCCCAAACCUCUUCCUUUUCCUCUUCUCCAGAUGGGUUUGUGAUCGAAGAGACAAAUGGGUCAUUGAACCAACCGACAGUGGUGGUUGAAGAAAAGAAGCUGAAUCGGACAGCUGAGCUCGCUGCUUCGACUGGUGGAGCUUUGGCACUCGCUAUGCUUUGUAACAAAGCUCACUCACUCUAAACUCUCUCUCUCUCUCUCUAAAACCCUCCCCAAACCCUAGCCUCCUCCUCUCUCUCUCUCUUGCUUCCAUGGAGUUUUGGGGUUUUUGGGUAGCCAUUGCAGGCGAGCUAGCCUGUGGUGUCUACUUCUAGAGUUUCCUCCAUUGCAGAGAAAGAGUUACCAAUGGAGCAAGAGCAAUGUCACAUUUGUAGAGUUACAAGAAAUAUGGGAGACAUAAGCUGAGAGAGUUUGGAAAAAAGAUCAUGGAUCUUUGUUUGAA
Molecule: long non-coding RNA, 705 nt
Organism: Quercus robur (English oak)
Lineage: Eukaryota; Viridiplantae; Streptophyta; Magnoliopsida; Fagales; Fagaceae
Exons: 3
Source: RefSeq, a predicted model, not a curated record